AAAAGAAAAAGAAAAAAGAGCCCACCCAACCCCUACCUCGCUCUCUCCCCACGAACCUCUCUGUCUCUCGCGACUCCUCUCUCCCCCACGAGCCUCUCUCCCUCGCUGCCGCCACCACCCACGCCGGCCAGUUCCGGCGAGCUCUGCGGCGCGCAGCACACCCCCGAGCUCCCCUAGGUCCGCUCCACCUCCCCCUCCAUCCAGAAUCGGCGCUCCCGCCCUCCACCGUCCCCGUGGCUAGCUAGGGUUUCGGCCGCCACCCCUAACAUCGCCAGGAUCAGCCAGAUCCGGCGACGGCGAGGCCAGAGCUCGACGGAUCCAUUACCGGCGUGUCGCAGGUAUGUCCUUCCCCUCUUUCCUCGCCCGGAUCCACCCUCCCCACCUCACCUUCUCCUUUCCUUCCCUUGCUGCAGGUCACCUUGGCACGGUCUGGACGACGACGACGGUAGGAGGGUGCCGUCCUUCCUACUGGCGCACCUAGCUGGCGGCUCUGUCCUGCUCGAGGAGGCGGGCUGCCUAGCUCAAGCACGGCCACGACGGCCCACCUCGGCAGGUAGGUACCGCUUAUGUACUGGAGCCUUGAUCUUAAUUUUUCUUCAUUGAUGUCCUUGGAGAAGAUGGCCAUUGGAGUGUAGGGGAGGAACAACCUUGUCUUGCUCAAGGAGGACCACCCGAUCUCGACGACGGCACGACAACAGCCUUGUCUCCCCCACCAAUGCCCCUUGGCCUCCUCUAAUGCUGCUGUGGAGUCUUAGAAUGGGAAUGUUAUGUACAUAAAAAAUAUUCUAUGGUCUGUGUUUGCAAAUCCAUGGUUGUUGAAUCAUGUCUGUAUAAGCAUUUGUAAAUAGCUAGCCUUUUUGGCUAAUCUUUUUUUUU
Non-coding RNA from Triticum urartu, 876 nucleotides. Lineage: Eukaryota; Viridiplantae; Streptophyta; Magnoliopsida; Poales; Poaceae. The record is from RefSeq and is a predicted model, not a curated record.